RNAcentral lists this small RNA (30 nucleotides) under Bombyx mori (domestic silkworm). RNAcentral's name for it is "ovarian small RNA-17377". The record is from RNAcentral. Lineage: Eukaryota; Metazoa; Arthropoda; Insecta; Lepidoptera; Bombycidae.
GGCAGCCCGGGUGUGGCUCUCUCCUGCAGA